RNAcentral lists this unclassified non-coding RNA (379 nucleotides) under uncultured Oligoflexales bacterium. Its description in RNAcentral is "contains 16S-23S intergenic spacer region". Lineage: Bacteria; Pseudomonadati; Bdellovibrionota; Oligoflexia; Oligoflexales. The record is from RNAcentral.
UCCGUGUUAACCACGGCAGUCUCUCUAGAGAGCCCAACUGAAUGCUGGCAACUAAAGAUAAGGGUUGCGCUCGUUGCGGGACUUAACCCAACAUGUCACCACACGAGCUGACGACAGCCAUGCAGCACCUGUCACUCGGCAGUAUUGCUACUGAGACCGUAUCUCUACGGCUGUCCGAGGAUGUCAAACCCAGGUAAGGUUUUUCGCGUUGCUUCGAAUUAAACCACAUGAUCCACCGCUUGUGCGGGCCCCCGUCAAUUCCUUUGAGUUUUAGUCUUGCGACCGUACUUCCCAGGCGGGGUACUUAUUGCGUUAGCUCCGGCUCUGUAGGGGUCAAAUCCCACAAAGCCUAGUACCCAUCGUUUACAGCGUGGACUAC